UCAAUGCAUUGAAAGUGAC
RNAcentral lists this small RNA (19 nucleotides) under Arabidopsis thaliana (thale cress). RNAcentral describes it as "AGO1_1182". Lineage: Eukaryota; Viridiplantae; Streptophyta; Magnoliopsida; Brassicales; Brassicaceae. The record is from RNAcentral.